Molecule: unclassified non-coding RNA, 380 nt
Filed under: uncultured bacterium
Lineage: Bacteria
Description: contains 16S-23S intergenic spacer region
Source: RNAcentral
UCCAGUUAAUCACCGGCAGUCUUCCUAGAGUGCCCACCAUGACGUGAUGGCAACUAAGAAUAAAGGUUGCGCUCGUUGCGGGACUUAACCCAACACUUCACAGCACGAGCUGACGACAGCCAUGCAGCACCUGUGUAAUUGUCUCUUGCGAGAAGACCGACUUUCAUCGGCUGUCAACUACAUGUCAAACCUGGGUAAGGUUCUUCGCGUAGCCUCGAAUUAAACCACAUGCUCCACCGCUUGUGCGGGUCCCCGUCAAUUUCUUUGAGUUUCAGUCUUGCGACCGUACUCCCCAGGUGGUGGAUUUAAUGCGUUAGCGUCGGCGCCGGAGGGAUCGACACCCCCGACACCUAAUCCACAUCGUUUACGGCAAGGACUAC